Molecule: long non-coding RNA, 331 nt
Filed under: Capsicum annuum
Lineage: Eukaryota; Viridiplantae; Streptophyta; Magnoliopsida; Solanales; Solanaceae
Description: long non-coding RNA (CANN_LNC013103)
Source: RNAcentral
CCGCCUGAAGAACAAAGUGAAGAAACUGGAAGCCCAGGAGCCCGCCUAAAAAAUAGGGUGAAGAAGUUGUAAGUCCAGGAGCCCGCCUGAAGAACUGGGUGAAGAAAUUGGAAGUCCAGGAGCCCGCAUGAAGAACAGGGUGAAGAAAUUGUAAGUCCAGGAGCCCGUCUGAAGAACAAAGUGAAGAAACUGAAAGUCUAGGAGCCCGCCUCAAGAACAGGGUGAAGCAUUUGUAAGUCCAGGAGCCCGCCUGAAGAACAGGAUGAAGAAAUUGGAAGUUCAGGAGCCCGCCUGAAGAACAGGGUAAAGAAAUUGUAAGUCCCGGAGCCCG